UACAGAGGUGGCAAGCGUUGUUCGGAAUUACUGGGCGUAAAGGGCGCGUAGGCGGCCUACUAAGUCAGACGUGAAAUCCCCCGGCUUAACCUGGGAACUGCGUCUGAUACUGGAAGGCUUGAGGAUGGGAGAGGGAUGUAGAAUUCCAGGUGUAGCGGUGAAAUGCGUAGAUAUCUGGAGGAAUACCGGUGGCGAAGGCGGCAUCCUGGACCGGCAUUGACGCUGAGGCGCGAAAGCUAGGGGAGCAAACGGG
This 253-nucleotide ribosomal RNA is filed under the name uncultured bacterium. RNAcentral describes it as "partial 16S ribosomal RNA". It matches the Rfam family "Bacterial small subunit ribosomal RNA", at positions 524 to 776 of the family's 1533-position model. The record is from RNAcentral.